This 688-nucleotide unclassified non-coding RNA is filed under the name Leishmania donovani. RNAcentral's name for it is "gene:LdHU3.04.1330(CDS-product:hypothetical_prote in_conserved)". Lineage: Eukaryota; Euglenozoa; Kinetoplastea; Trypanosomatida; Trypanosomatidae. The record is from RNAcentral.
CAGCCACGGCCGUGUGCCGGCAAGAAUCCGUGCCACAUGUGGCCCUUCUCUUCCGCGGCCGCCAACACGCGGUCGUCAUCGUCCAUAGCGGCAUCGCUGCCGUUGGAGCGGCGCCUGAUUCGUGUCAGCAAGGCAGACAUUAGCCGCGUCACCGCCGACGACAUCAAGCGCGUGAGCGCCCGCCUCACGAACGACGAGCUCACCACCUCACUGCGGCUUCUGGUCGAGACGAACCGACUUGGCGAUGUGCUCGCCUCGGCAUCGUCCUCGGCCUGGGCGGAGGCGGUCGCGGAGGUGACGGAGGCGCGAAUGGGGCUGAGUAGCAACGUGAUGCGGGACCGCAUGAGUCUCCUGUACAACAUCUUGCCGUACGUAUCGGACAACUUCCUCAGCGCCAUGGGUAGCUCCUACUCACGCGACCCGUAGCGCCGCUCUUCUUCUCCGUGCUACACAUCUGAACCCACCCAUACACAUGAAGAAAGGAUCCCAUCAUUCGUGGAAUGUCGGCAGCACCGCGCUUGGGUAUCGCCGCAUGCUGUACGACGUGCCACCUAGGGCAGAAGGGGGUGGGCGAGCGGAGGCAUCGUCUCGCCCAUCGUGGCCUGUCCAGCUCACCUCCCGUCCUUCCUCUGCGUUGGCGCCUUCACUGGCUGCCCUUCUUUUCCUCGCCUUCUCUCUCUCACACCAG